UGGGGUAUAGCCAAGCGGUAAGGCAACGGACUUUGACUCCGUGAUUUCGCUAGUUCGAAUCUAGCUAUCCCAA
RNAcentral lists this transfer RNA (73 nucleotides) under Granulicatella sp. Its description in RNAcentral is "tRNA-Gln". It matches the Rfam family "tRNA". From Rfam's summary of the family: Transfer RNA (tRNA) molecules are approximately 80 nucleotides in length. Their secondary structure includes four short double-helical elements and three loops (D, anti-codon, and T loops). The record is from RNAcentral. Lineage: Bacteria; Bacillati; Bacillota; Bacilli; Lactobacillales; Carnobacteriaceae.